UUAAAGUAUAAUAAAAAAUUACUUUAAAAUAAUAUUCUAUUAUAGAUUCUGCAGGAGAAAUCACACAGAAUAAUUGUUUUGAGGAAAAAAAGGACCAAGCCAAAUUUUUGACACUUGAAGAGUUGAGCAUGUAUUUGCUCAUAUGUUUGUAAAAUAGAUGAUGAUGGCAUCAUAUUGAUGUAAUAUUUAUAUUUUAUUGGAUAUACUUAAAAGGGUAAUGUUAGUAUUUAUAAUAUUCUGGAAAUUUCUUUCUGUGCAGCUAUUUAAACUGUGGUGAAGAAGGCAUUUUAUAUGUCAACCUAGAAAUUUACAAAGGGGCACGUUUUUCCAAACUCAGUGGAUAUUGAAAAUAAAAAGAGAACAUUGCAAUGGACCAAGAUAGGAUACUUUCCAACCCCUCAGGGCCUCUACUUGGCCGACGCAGCUAGAAGACUAAGGUCAGGGGCAUUCUGGAUGCAGCCCACAAAGCUAGCUCUCUGUGGCACUGAGCAAGAUCAUCUCAGCCUCUCCUGAACUGUGACCAACUGGCUUACUCAAGGGACUGGAUCUGCUGUCCCGACAUGAUGGCAAGCUGCAGCACAUCAUGCAGAUUAAAGUUCAGCCUGCCUCAGACUCAGGAUAAAAACACAUUUGGGACAGUCUCGCUCAGCCUCAUUGCAGAGACAAGAAAUGUAUGAAAAGAAAGUACAGAGAAAAAAAAAGAAUGGAAUACACAUGAAUGCCGAACCACAUUGGAUAUGUAGCUGUUCAUGAAGAUAUUCCAGGGAAGGCCUAUCUAGUAGAGCCUCAAAUCUAUUUGAAUACAAAUGGCACUCAUUAAGGACAUCUGUCUUCUGUAAUGUCUACACAAAGUCUUACCGGGGUCUUCUUGGCUCUUAUUGACGGCUGAUGAAGGAGGGGUUUAUAAAGAAAACAAGCCAAAACCUGAAUAACUUGCUACUGAGAGCAGCACACAUAUUUUCCCAAAGUGCAAAGUUGAGAAGAAGUACAAAGCUUUGUUAAUAUUCUGAACAGUACUGCUUAGUAUGAUCUAAUUGAUGGAUUUUCCAUGGACUCCCUAGAGACUGAAAAAGGUUUGACUGUCAGGAAACUUUUCUUGUGUUUAUUCUUCAAUUUUCCUUUUCCUACUUUCCAAUCAUCAUUCCCUAUUAACAUCCCUUGAUGGGUCACCUUAAGUGAUUAUUCUUUUUAAUGGCAUUUAUAACGUUUAAUAUUUCCCUGUUAAUUUCUAUUCCGACAAAGUACAUAUUUUUUUAAUCUUCACUCAUAACAUUAAUAAAUUUUUCCAACAUUUUAAAGCUCAGUUAACAUUUCCUUAUAUAUGCCUCUGUCUUUAAAAUAUGAGAUCUGAAUGUACUGGUAUCACUAGAAUUAUCUACAGAGUUCUAAUGUGAUGGAAAUUGUGCUACAAAAAUUUGUUCUUACAUAAUUUGCUUCAACGGAAUUCCUCCUGAACUAAAUACUUAGUCUUUACAUUCUUUAAAAUAACUAAAAUUUCCCAGAGGAAAGUCUGAAUUGUUCAUUUAACCUUGUGUGAUGUGUGCUGUGUGUAGCUGAAACAGCAAAGUGGACACACCUGCACCCUUAACAUUUUUGACUUUUUUUUUUUUUUUUUUAAAGAAUCAAGUUUCGUUUUUGUCACCCAAGCUGGAGUGCAGUGGUACAAUCUCCGGUCACUGCAACCUCCGCCUCCCGGGUUCAAGCGACUCUCCUGCCUCAGCCUCCCAAGUGGCUGGGAUUACAUGUGUGCACCACAAAGCCUGGGUAUUUUUUUUUUUUCAUUUUUAGUAGAGACGUGGUUUCACUAUGUUGGGCAGGCUGGUCUUGAACUCCUGAACUCAGGUGAUCCUUCCCCGCUAGGCCUCCCAAAGUGCUGGAAUUUCAGGCCUGAGCCACAGCACCUGGCCAACUGUGACUCAUUUUUAAAGCGGUUUGGCAAUAAUGCUAUAUACGUAUAAUGGUUUUGAAUAAAAUAUACAACUAUACAUGGCCUGUUAUCUUCUUAUUUUAGACAGAAUAAUCUUAGUCUUGUACUUUCAUGUAUUAGGCUGAUAGCCAUGAGAUUUGGGGAGGAAAAAAAUAGGAUAAAAUAGGACUCACUCAUUUCAAGAAAUAGAGUUAGUUUUCUAUGCAAGCAUUUUCUCCCCUUCUCCUUAGCCCACCAAAGUGGUAAAUGAGACUUCCAGCCAUGAGGCUGUUUGCACCUCUGUCUGGGAGGAGACUUCUGGAGCUUUGGUUGCUGCUAAUGACUUGGAGGGGCUUUGAAGGCCCCCUUGAAGAUGUCACGCAUGACCUCUGGACCCUUGGUAUCUUUCAAGAAUCCUUAUGAGAUACUAACUCAUUUCGUUUAUAAUAGGUGAAAACAGAUCAUGUAUUUUUAAACCAGAUAAUGCCUAAGUUAUAUUACUCUAGAAUUCAUAGAAAAAAUAAAAUAGCCGAGAUCUUUAAAAAGACUGUAAUGUGGUAUUAGUGGACUGUCUUUUUUUUUGUUUAUGGAGAGAAAAAAAUUAUUUGUAAGUUUUUUUUU
Molecule: long non-coding RNA, 2527 nt
Filed under: Homo sapiens (human)
Lineage: Eukaryota; Metazoa; Chordata; Mammalia; Primates; Hominidae
Description: HSALNT0342919
Source: RNAcentral